RNAcentral lists this ribosomal RNA (460 nucleotides) under uncultured bacterium. RNAcentral's name for it is "partial 16S ribosomal RNA". It matches the Rfam family "Bacterial small subunit ribosomal RNA", at positions 338 to 795 of the family's 1533-position model. The record is from RNAcentral.
CCUACGGUAGGCAGCAGUGAGGACUAUUGGUCAAUGGGCGUAAGCCUGAACCAGCCAAGUCGCGUGAGGGAUGAAGGUUCUAUGGAUCGUAAACCUCUUUUAUAAGGGAAUAAAGUGUGGGACGUGUCCUAUUUUGUAUGUACCUUAUGACUAAGGCACAGCUAACUCCGUGCCAGCAGCCGCUGUAAUACGGAGGGUCCGAGCGUUAUCCGGAUGUCUUGGGUUUAAGGGGUGCGUAGGCGGCUUUUUAAGUCAGCGGUGAAAGUCUUUGGCUCAACCAUAGAAUUGCCGUUGAAACUGGGGGGCUUGAGUAUGUUUGAGGCAGGCGGAAUGCGUGGUGUAGCGAUGAAAUGCUUAGAUAUCACGCAGAACCCCGAUUGCGAAGGCAGCCUGCCAAGCCAUGACUGACGCUGAUGCACGAAAGCGUGGGGAUCAAACAGGAUUAGAUACCCUUGUAGUC